Molecule: long non-coding RNA, 3219 nt
Organism: Alexandromys fortis (reed vole)
Lineage: Eukaryota; Metazoa; Chordata; Mammalia; Rodentia; Cricetidae
Exons: 4
Source: RefSeq, a predicted model, not a curated record
GCAGAGACGCCAGGCUCCGCUCUCCCAGGCAGCUCCGACCCAGGAUGGACGUAGGCUAGAAUCUUCCUGGCUUCUAUGGGUAUAAUCAAAAACUGCAAGUAAGCAUCCUCAUUUAAAUCUUUCAUCACUGGGCUUGAUAUACAGUCACCUGACGUGAGAUGAAACCCUGAAGGGAAGAACUGAGUGGGAAGAUUAUGCACAUCCCACUCAAAACUCCACGGCCCUGCUCCAUCUACUGAGACAGCCAGUUUGCCCUGGAGGCUGAUGUGCGCGAAUUCCCAUCCCCCAACAUCCAACACACGCGUGUUAGCAUUUCAGUUCCAGGGGUCUCUUUCAGCCAAUGAAAAUACUUAGCAGAACCUGGUUUUUAUAAAGACAGUGUCUGUAAUUGACAAGCCUGAAUUCAUCAAGGACAUGGCUGGAUGAUAAUUAAAUUAUUCUAUCAGACCUAGAAAGACUGUGAUGAGUAUACCAUUUUUUCUACUGUUCUUUGGUUUUUCAUUGGAGUUUCUACAUUAUGGAAUCUUCUCCUUGUUUGCAAUUUCACUGCUGCUGGCCCUGCUUACAAUCAGAAUGGUCAAGUUACAAUACACUCUUUAUCUCGGGAAGCAUGUACAAACCUACUUCAUUCAAGUUCUGCCCUAAACCUUGACCUCCAGAGCACACCUCACCAUUCCGUAUGCUGACAUUGAAGAUUCUUUGGUGGACUUUCUAUUUUAAUCAGUACACUUGUAGACGCAUGGAUGUACAUACUUUAUUCCACAUGGUUUUAUCCUGACACACAUAUCUACCAAUUCCCACUCAUUACAUUUGUGAAUCUACUGAGAUAAAGCUAUGACAUCCUGGGCAUAAUUUUAAGUCUUGCUACGUUCUCAGUAAGACCAUUAUGUUCUCUUGGCAUUAUGAACCAGAGGUCUUUAAAAGAGUAUGUUUAAUGAAUGUAGUUUCUUCCCAUCUCUGUCAGCCUCUGAAAAUCGGAUUCCCAUGACAACUGACUCCCAUAGGGUCCCUGAUGCUGCUCAGGUCUCACUGGGACGAACACUCAGCUGAGAUCCACUGCAGGGCUACAAGCUUCAUCUGUGGCUGCUCACCUGAUCCAUGUGCAUGUACAGAAGGAAAAACACUUGUAAACAGACCAGCACCUUCCACAAUCUUUUCUGUCUUUACUUUUUAAAAACUGACAAGAUUUUCUGUUGUUUUUACCCACUGUCUCAAGAGGAUGAUUCAAUAUUUUGUUGACCACAAAACCAUUGCUAAAUUUAAUGUUUUGAAGUCCAAUGGAGAAUACAUAAAUUUAUAAUGUAUAGUUCAACUGAAUUUUCAAUGGCACCAUCCCACUGUACCAGCACUUACAUAAAGACAAAUGAUAUUUGUAUCACUCCAGGAAGCUGUCAUCAGGUUCUCUUCCAUGCAAAAUCACCAGCACCAGUACAAAGAAGAACUCUACCUAGACGAAGACCACAGAUACUUUUAUGGAAGGCCAGCUGGCCUGGAUCUGAAAAAGCCUGGGUCAAAACUGGACUCGCUGAACAUAGCGGACAAGGAGGACUACUGAGAACUCAAGAACAAUGGCAAUGGGUUUUUGAUCCUAAUGCACGUACUGGCUUUGUGGGAGCCUAGGCAGUUUGGAUGCUCACCUUACUAGACCUGGAUGGAGGGAUCAGUAAAAACACCCUGAGCAGACUGCCGCAUCCACGAGGCUAAAGCGGUUAUGCUGAAGGAACAUAGAAGAGUGGGAAGUGCGGCUCUUUACAAAUGAAGACGAGAAAAGCAGCCUUGUUCCUGCCCAGCAGAGUGCAGCUCCACCCUUCCAAUGAUGCUACCCCAGAGGAGGCAGAAGAGCCACCCUCUUUCAAACCGCAUCCCUGCUGCUAAGCCUCUCCAUUACCCUGUAUGAAGUGGAAUGCCACACAAAUCUACUGGGGCUCGGGGUGGGGGGAUAUAGUAAGAUUAGGAAAUGUUAGCGUUUUAGAUUUUUUGUGAUUUACGUAAAUUCACGUGAAUAGCAUCGAGCACUUGAGUGAGGUAUUCCUGAGACGUGGAACACUGCACAAGUCGGGUGAAGUGGAGCACUGACAAAGAGAGGUUUACAGUCGUCUAGUACCAAACAGAAUCACUUCCUAAAGACAUCUGAAACAUUGCCAAUGAGGUCAAGAGUCUAAAUUUUAUUCUGAGCUAUGUUAAACAGCAAUGCAGCUUUGUAAGGGAGGCUAUCAAUUGCAUAAUAGACCAUGAAAAGCAUACUGUUUGUAUUUCUAUAUUGUUUAUAAUUUAUUACAUAUAAUUUAAGAGCUCCAAGUAUCAACAGAAUUUGUUAGACAUAAUUAAAUUUAAAAGAGAAUUACCAAAAUGUAGCUCCACCACAGUCCCCAGUCAUGCCCCCAGCACUGAAUUCAGGGCACGUCAGAGGACAAACCCAGCAGAUCUUCACCUCCUGGAGACUCGUAAGUCUAAGUUACAAGUAUCGAGGAUUACUGAAGUCAGAGGAGAAGUACAGUUCCAAAUUCACCUCAGUGUGUGAGCCCCACAGAGCACGCAGGUUCAGGGCCACACCCUUCAGCUCCACUGUGCUCUCAGAUAAACACAACUGUCUCCACUAGAGCACAUAAGGCUGUGGAAGCCACAGACACACUUAUUUCCUCUUUAUUGUUUAUACAACACAGUGAAGUGUAGCUGACACAAAUAUCUAUGAGACAGAAUUUUAAACAAACAAAAUUCAAUUACAAGCAAAGUACUGACUUUGAAAUCUAAUUCAAUUAAAAUAAACUUUACAUGCUUCAGGACUGAAAAAUGUAUUAAACAACUCCCACCUCUAAAAAACAGAAAGUGAAGUAAAUACAAUGGGUGUCUAUCUGUCUUUGAAGGAAAAUGUCAAAACUCUGGAUUUAGUAAAACAACAUGCUAGCUCCUCUAAGAGCGGAGUCCUCCCUCGCAGUUACGGUGAGCAGAGGAGGGAGCAUCUGCUUCACAUAUGCUGCUGAUAAAAAGGAAAACACCACUCUGCUUCCUGAGCUCCUACCUAGCUAAUAAAACAAGUCAGAUGAGAAGAAAUGUUAAGGUUAUUUACAUACAAUUAAUCCAACAGGUGAGAGAAAAGAUUAUGCUUUUAAUAAAAAAGCAAAUAAAUGCAAAUAUAUCCUGUUACAUAGGAUAAUGUCAAUUAAAAACAGAGAAAGUAGAAACAUCUAUUUUAAGAAAUAAAAUUUGUAUAGUAACUUA